AGCAGUUUCAUAAGUGCAUAGUGACAUCACUUUUUGCUCCUUCCAUCUCAUGUCUUACUAUCACUGUAAAGCAGAAUUCACCAAGUAUUGGAUUGUUCACCUACUGAUAGGGAAUGUAUACUGCAAUUAGACUGUCUUGAGACAGGUU
Molecule: non-coding RNA, 148 nt
Filed under: Anolis carolinensis (green anole)
Lineage: Eukaryota; Metazoa; Chordata; Lepidosauria; Squamata; Anolidae
Description: Eukaryotic large subunit ribosomal RNA
Rfam family: Eukaryotic large subunit ribosomal RNA
Source: Rfam by way of RNAcentral